UACGUAGGAGGCGAGCGUUGUCCGGAUUUACUGGGCGUAAAGGGCGCGCAGGCGGCCUUGCAAGUAGCGUGUGAAAUCCACCUGCUCAACGGGUGGGGUGCAUGGUAGACUGCAGGGCUAGAGGACGGUAGAGGGGGGUGGAAUUGCUGGUGUAGCGGUGAAAUGCGUAGAUAUCGGGAGGAACAUCCGUGGCGAAGGCGGCUACCUGGACCAGCACUGACACUGAGGCACGAAAGCGUGGGGAGCAAACAGG
This 253-nucleotide ribosomal RNA is filed under the name uncultured bacterium. RNAcentral describes it as "partial 16S ribosomal RNA". It matches the Rfam family "Bacterial small subunit ribosomal RNA", at positions 524 to 776 of the family's 1533-position model. The record is from RNAcentral.